UACUCGCUCUACUAAAUUUAAUACUACCGAAAUGAAAAUGCCGUCUGCAUAUUUGUAUAUGGGAUAUGUUGCCUCUUCAAAAUUUUCAUAGGAAUGAAAACUGCGCUGUCAAACUGCAGAGUUUACAGCUUAUUGCUUUCAAUAUAUGGCAUACUAAUUAGUAUUCUAUAUCUUGCUUUCCAUAAGGAAUAGGGAGUCUCCACAGGCAAUAAGCACGGCAAUACAGUUAGUACAAGAAUGAUAGAGAAAGAGAUUACGCAAUGCGCAUGUUUGCUUUCAGUCAGCUGUUCUUGCUGACGUCACGGUUGACUUAUUAUUCACCCGCGCUAUUAAAAGUGAAUUCGAAUUGUGUUUUCAAGUGUUAUAUUAAUUGUUAAAUUCUAUAUUUUUAAAAUGCGUUGUGCAGUGUUUGGUUGUAAUAAUAACAAUGGUAAAAAUAGUGCUACGAAGUGGAGAUUUUUCCAUUUCCCUUAGGAUAAAACAGUACUGAAACAGUGAAUUCAUUUUUGUGCACUUCGCGCCAGAAGCCUUCGAAAUAAAUUUGCAGUGUGAAAUGGGUUUAAGUUCGCGGAGUCUAACGAAAUUGCUAUCACGAUCACCCUGACAAGGAGUUCAAGUGUAGGCUGCGUUCCUAUAUACUUGGUCACAACGAAGGACCGAUUACAGAUGAAGGAAAUGUUGAAGUCGACAACACACCAGAUUUGGAAGGAAAUUACUUAUCUCUAACCGGUAAUAUUUUUCAACGUGUGUCAGUUGAUCUGAAUUCCACUGACCCAAUCGAAAAAAAUAAUGACUUGGAGAUUCUCAACAACGACGGACUUGAGAAUUUGGCAGGGUACAUCUGCCACAAACACGGUAAAGACAACCCCGAAAUUUGUGCCAAUUCCGAAAAUUGUUCGUCCCAUACUUGGGUGGAUCACCUUUCUGAAGGAGGACUCUCAAAACCAACAGAUAUGUUGAUGGAGCAUAUGAGAGCCUUGCAAGCAAUAUUUGACGACGUCAAUGGUAAUGAUUUGCAUAUAUGUACAAAUUACGUCCAG
Long non-coding RNA from Bactrocera neohumeralis, 1040 nucleotides. RefSeq lists it as uncharacterized. The transcript has 3 exons. The record is from RefSeq and is a predicted model, not a curated record. Lineage: Eukaryota; Metazoa; Arthropoda; Insecta; Diptera; Tephritidae.